RNAcentral lists this ribosomal RNA (912 nucleotides) under uncultured bacterium. Its description in RNAcentral is "bacterial SSU rRNA". It matches the Rfam family "Bacterial small subunit ribosomal RNA", at positions 8 to 916 of the family's 1533-position model. The record is from RNAcentral.
AGAGUUUGAUCAUGGCUCAGAUUGAACGCUGGCGGCAUGCCUUACACAUGCAAGUCGAACGGCAGCACGGGGCAACCUGGUGGCGAGUGGCGAACGGGUGAGUAAUGUAUCGGAACGUACCUUUCAGUGGGGGAUAACGUAGCGAAAGUUACGCUAAUACCGCAUGUUCUGUGAGCAGGAAAGCAGGGGAUCGCAAGACCUUGCGCUGAUUGAGCGGCCGAUAUCAGAUUAGCUAGUUGGUGAGGUAAAGGCUCACCAAGGCGACGAUCUGUAGCGGGUCUGAGAGGAUGAUCCGCCACACUGGAACUGAGACACGGUCCAGACUCCUACGGGAGGCAGCAGUGGGGAAUUUUGGACAAUGGGGGCAACCCUGAUCCAGCCAUGCCGCGUGAGUGAAGAAGGCCUUCGGGUUGUAAAGCUCUUUCGGCCGGGAAGAAAUCGCAUGGGUUAAUACCCUAUGCGGAUGACGGUACCGGCAUAAGAAGCACCGGCUAACUACGUGCCAGCAGCCGCGGUAAUACGUAGGGUGCGAGCGUUAAUCGGAAUUACUGGGCGUAAAGCGUGCGCAGGCGGUUUUGUAAGACAGGCGUGAAAUCCCCGGGCUCAACCUGGGAACUGCGUUUGUGACUGCAAGGCUAGAGUACGGCAGAGGGGGGUGGAAUUCCACGUGUAGCAGUGAAAUGCGUAGAGAUGUGGAGGAACACCAAUGGCGAAGGCAGCCCCCUGGGUCGAUACUGACGCUCAUGCACGAAAGCGUGGGUAGCAAACAGGAUUAGAUACCCUGGUAGUCCACGCCCUAAACGAUGUCAACUAGGUGUUGGGUGGGUAAAACCAUUUAGUACCGGAGCUAACGCGUGAAGUUGACCGCCUGGGGAGUACGGCCGCAAGGUUAAAACUUAAAGGAAUUGACGG